GGAGAGAUGGCUGAGCGGCUGAAGGUACUCGCUUGGAAAGCGAGCGUACUGUAACAGGUACCGCGGGUUCGAACCCCGCUCUCUCCGCCA
This 90-nucleotide transfer RNA is filed under the name Clostridiales bacterium. Its description in RNAcentral is "tRNA-Ser". It matches the Rfam family "tRNA". Rfam says of the family: Transfer RNA (tRNA) molecules are approximately 80 nucleotides in length. Lineage: Bacteria; Bacillati; Bacillota; Clostridia; Eubacteriales. The record is from RNAcentral.